RNAcentral lists this long non-coding RNA (1369 nucleotides) under Cyanistes caeruleus (blue tit). RNAcentral describes it as "lncRNA (ENSCCEG00000011150.1)". The record is from RNAcentral. Lineage: Eukaryota; Metazoa; Chordata; Aves; Passeriformes; Paridae.
UAGAAACAUGUCACACUUAGUCUUGCUCACUAAUGCCUUCAGAGAGCUAGGAAAAUCAUUCACAUCGAGUAGCUGGGAUAAUAUCAUUUUACAUUUAUCCCAAACACAGUAAUCAGUAUCUGAUGAAUUUCACUUUUUUCAGCUCUUCUAUUUGUCUGUGGUUGAUGUGAGAAUAUGACUUAAAUGGAAGAAGGCUAAAAAGACUGCAACUCAACCAAGCUGGUUCCAUGUCUUGGACCAAACUGCUCUGAAUCUUAGUUGCUCUGAAUGAGCACUUUUCUUAGGACAUAUUUGCAGCUGAGGCAUCCCUAGAGUUUUACUUUUUAUAUUGUGAUAAAUUAGGACUAUUGUUUGAGAUAAAAGGAGCUAAUAUUGGCCUUGUUUUGCCUUUGUCAUUGUGUCAUCGGUCAAACAAAAUAACUCUUCGAGGGACUUAUGGAUGGGGAAUAGGCUGAGCUCUUGGAAUGACAGAACACCAGAGGUUGGAAGAGUUCUCUGCAGAUCACCUCAUCCAACCUGGCUAAGGUAGGGCCAACUAAAGCAACUUGCCCAAGACAUUGUCCACUGAGGUUUUGUCUCCAAACAGGGGAGACUCCACAACCUCUCUGGAGGACUCUACAACCUGCUCCAGUUACCUUGGUCACCUUCAUGGUAAAAAAAAGUUUUCCUCUUUAGUUUAAAUGGAAUUUUCUGUAUUUUGGUUUGUGCUUUUUCAUUGCUCGGGUGCUUUUGUCAAGCUCAUGGUAACCGUGCUGUUUUGACACCAGCCAUAACAGAAGGCAGACAAAGGCACACUCACAGGUGUGGCUGGUAAGCCCUGGUCUGUUCCCUGCUCACAAGACAUUGUUAGCAAUCUUUCCCUCUUAGGUGAGUAGACUUUUUUCUCCAGACAUAUGUUGGUUUACACUCUUGUAUCCAUUUUGCAUUAGGGAUACCUGUGGGAUACCUGAAAACGAAGGAACGCCGGGAACCGGUGAGGAUCCAGAGCAGUCUGCAGGGCACAUAUAUCUAUUUGUCCAGAGAGGCACCCCAACCAUGCCCAGCGCUGAAGUCUCUGGACAGCUCGUCUCUUGAUGUGCUGUUUGCACCUGGCAAGUUACCCCAGUCGCCAGCCCAUGAAAGUCACAGUCAUGAUAUGACAGAGCAGGUGUUUUAUUUUGGCUGAGAAGAGCAAAUUUCCAGCUGGACAACAGCCUGUAGCCUUUUACAUAUACUGGAAGAUGUCACAUAACAAUGUAGAAAAAAAAAGAAAAAGAAGUUACCAAAACUUUGUCUUGGUACCCACAAAUUACAGCAGCUUCUUUUGUUGGCUGUAGUACUCUAUGGACUGAGACAAGAAUCAUGUAACUCCCCUCAUUUUUUUGAGAUC